GGGGGCGAAUGGAUUCGACGGGGACGGCAGGCUGAGGGAAGCAGGCAGGGUGGCACCCUCAACAGCCACCGGGAAACACUUCCCGAAGCUGAACUCGCCCUCGCUGCCUAAUUGAAGGCAGCGGCUCUCCGGUGACUGCACCGCUGGGUUGCCGGUAGGGUUCAGAGACAGCGGUGUAGGAAGGAGGUAUGGGCACAGAUACCUCCUUCCGAAAAGGAACUGUGCCCCGCCUCUCACCGCCUGCCGGUGGGCUGUGAGAGGAGAGGUAAGAAACACCGGCUAAGCCUGUAGAAGCCCUCCAGCUGGGCCGUUCUCGGACGAGGGUUCGAUUCCCUCCGCCUCCACCA
Thermocrinis albus DSM 14484 is the source of this 347-nucleotide non-coding RNA. It matches the Rfam family "transfer-messenger RNA". Rfam says of the family: Bacterial tmRNA, also known as 10Sa RNA or SsrA, is named for its dual tRNA and mRNA-like properties. The record is from Rfam. NCBI's taxonomy places the organism in Bacteria, Pseudomonadati, Aquificota, Aquificia, Aquificales, Aquificaceae.